RNAcentral lists this microRNA (22 nucleotides) under Monodelphis domestica (gray short-tailed opossum). Its description in RNAcentral is "mdo-miR-7360-3p". Lineage: Eukaryota; Metazoa; Chordata; Mammalia; Didelphimorphia; Didelphidae. The record is from miRBase by way of RNAcentral.
AUAUUGUAUCACAGAUUGGACU